Molecule: ribosomal RNA, 253 nt
Filed under: uncultured bacterium
Lineage: Bacteria
Description: partial 16S ribosomal RNA
Rfam family: Bacterial small subunit ribosomal RNA
Source: RNAcentral
GACGGAAGGUGCAAGCGUUGCUCGGAAUCACUGGGCGUAAAGAGCGUGUAGGCGGUGCUGUAAGUCAACCGUGAAAGCUCCCGGCUAAACUGGGAGAGGUCGGAUGAGACUGCAGCGCUAGUGGGUCGUAGAGGAAUGUGGAAUUCCGGGUGUAGUGGUGAAAUGCGUAGAUAUCUGGAGGAACACCGGUGGCGAAGGCGGCAUCCUGGACCGGUAUUGACGCUGAGGCGCGAAAGCUAGGGGAGCAAACGGG